This 240-nucleotide ribosomal RNA is filed under the name uncultured bacterium. RNAcentral describes it as "partial 16S ribosomal RNA". It matches the Rfam family "Bacterial small subunit ribosomal RNA", at positions 524 to 765 of the family's 1533-position model. The record is from RNAcentral.
UACGUAGGGUGCAAGCGUUAAUCGGAAUUACUGGGCGUAAAGCGUGCGCAGGCGGUGAUGUAAGACAGAUGUGAAAUCCCCGGGCUCAACCUGGGAACUGCAUUUGUGACUGCAUCGCUGAGUGCGGCAGAGGGGAUGGAAUUCCGCGUGUAGCAGUGAAAUGCGUAGAUAUGCGGAGGAACACCGAUGGCGAAGGCAAUCCCCUGGGCCUGCACUGACGCUCAUGCACGAAAGCGUGGG